ACAAAAUGAACGGCGUCACCAGGCGCGAUUGGAUCUGAGGUCUCGUCCAAGGUUCCCCCUCACAGCGUCAUGAUGGCAUCAACAAAGUGGAGCACACCACCGACGGCAGGAAUGUCAAGCGAAGUCCCUGCCUCUGGUAGGAAGCGCGGGCUCGUAGGCAUCACGUUGGGGUUGAUCGCCUAAUGGGUGACAGAGGUGGAGGCAUUGCGACCACCUUCAUCAUCAAGCCGCAUCCCUGACCCUCCAUAGCUUGCACGUGACAAGAAGGUUCUUUUUUACUACGGCUAGAUUGAUAAUCCGUACUCCACAUAUCCUGCUUCGUGUUCUGUUGGUGCCUGAUGCCCACAGCUAUGGCAUGGAUAAUUAUGGAACCCAGGGGGUACAUUGCCUUGAGGGAACUCAGCAAAAAGAACUCUGAUAACCGUAAGAAACAGAAGACAAAGAACAUAAUUGGAUGAGAAGAGAAACUUGGAAACAAGAGAAGAGCCAGAUUGUAUUGCUCUUUGCGAACUCACCCACACGAAGAAUGAAACAUGGUUUAACAACUUGAGGAGAUGUUAAAAUAUCGUGCUGAAAAGGAAACAUUGUUGGAGGAGGAGCGAAGAUCAAGACAAGAAUUUGAAAAGGCCAUGAUGGCAAAGUUUACUAAAUUGAGCCAACAGAUGGGAACCCAACAGAUACCUAAGAAGAAGACUGACAAACAAAAUAGUAAUCCAAAACUGUAAAAUACUCUUUUACAGAGCUCUAGUCCUUAUAGGACUCUAGGUGGAAGCCCAAGUGUUAUUUCUUCAAAUGAGCUCAUACAAGCUGCAACAAUGAAUUCUUAAAAGUUUAAAGCAAUGGUAAGUCACAACCUUGCUUUCUCUUCAUGUUCACCUUGAUUUGACACAUCAAUGGCGUCAGGUUGGGCACAUAUCUACUUUUUUUUUUUGAGAUGGAAUACAUAUUCCAUUAAAUAUCAUGCGCCACUUUAUUACAAACCAAUAGGACAGUGUGACUAGGAAAUAGAACUGAAGUAGAUAAUAUAGGAAGUUCAAAACAAAAGUAGAUAAUAUAGGCUUCCAAGCUGAUGUUGCAUGUACUGCCUCUAGUCUGUACGCACACAUAAAUCUCAAUAUGUUUGGAAGUCAUUACCUUAGUUUUGAUGAUUUGUGACUCUGAUUAGAAUCGUUGAUCGCUUUAGAUUUCCCUUCUAUUCAUAUCAGAACAGUUGAUUAGAAUUGAAAACGACAAUGUUGGCUUCAUGUUUGUCUUCUACUUGCUCUGUGUGUGGGAUUUAUGUAUAGGAAGAAGUUGAAACAAAACACAAAAAACCCUUAUUUCUAACUUCUUUGCUGCCCCGUAUUAUUUUGUUAUACCGUGGCUUGCUUGUGCAUUCAUUCAUCAUUUUAGGUCAUGCAAUGUUCAUACUUUCGAGGGGAUCCAUUCCCACAUGAUAGUGUUCGUGAUAGGCACAACUUCAGACUACCCCCAGGUGAGCACUUACGACCAUUUUUUCCGAAAAGGCAAAAACCAAUUGGGACGCUUCAUAUCAUUGGAGUGCUAACCAAGCAAUAUACUACCCAUGCUUGAACCACAUCAUUUUAAUUUAUUUUAAGCUUCUACGAUGCGAACUACAAUUAGUUAGAGAAACAAUGUAAAUAUCAGUGAAUUGUUGUCACUUGUCAAAACUAAUUGUUUUUUGAUUUCUUAAUUACAGGAUCCAAACAACUAGCUGGACUGGACACGAGAUGACGGACAGUUUAGUCUUGCCACUAUAUUAGGAUGGCCAAAUUAUAUUGGAGUUUCAUUUGAUGGAUAUUUGCUACGAUAAUUACGAUUUUUAUGAAUAAAUAAAUAAAUAAGACGGUUGCAAUAUGUUAUUACCAAAAAUAAAUAGUGUUGCGUCAAAAUUUAGUCGCCAGACCUACAUGUUUUGUUGAGCUAGGAUGUUGUGAUAGAGCAUUUUAUACUGUCGCAAUAACUUGUCCUACAAUUUUUCUGCACAUUGUAUUAAUUGU
Lolium perenne is the source of this 2000-nucleotide long non-coding RNA. RefSeq lists it as uncharacterized. The record is from RefSeq and is a predicted model, not a curated record. Lineage: Eukaryota; Viridiplantae; Streptophyta; Magnoliopsida; Poales; Poaceae.